GCGUCAUUAGUGUAGUGGUUAUCAUCUGCGUUUCCCAUCCAUCUCGAUGUGAGAAUACGCAGGACUCGAGUUCGAUUCUCGAAUGACGCA
This is a non-coding RNA of Cercophora newfieldiana, 90 nucleotides long. NCBI's taxonomy places the organism in Eukaryota, Fungi, Ascomycota, Sordariomycetes, Sordariales, Lasiosphaeriaceae. The record is from the annotation of a GenBank genome assembly.